GAAAUGAAAUUAGUAGUAUAAAUUAAAAAAUAAAAAAUAAAAAGGACCAGAAUAAAAUAACUGAAAAAUGUGAAAGGGCCGGCUGUGCAAAUAACUCUUCGAAGCAAAACACGCGGAUCCUUCCCCUAGAUCAGGUCAACAAGCUGGUUAAAGCAUAAAACAACACCAUUUUGGCGUCUGCACAUUGGCCCAAAACGACGUCGUUUUGUAAGGCCUAUUUAAGUUUAAAAAAAAUUUCAAAAUCUCAUUUUAUUCCUCUUUCAAAAAAAAAACAAAAAAAAACUCUCUCAAAUCUAUUAGAACAGAUCCCAGAAUCCGGCCGUUGGGAUCGCCGGACCACCGUGGCGGCUGUUGCUGCCGUUCACAGUGGCCGAAAAAUUGAAAACAAAACCCAUUUCUUAGGCUAUUCGACUCCCCAAGCCGAAAUAGCACCGAUUGUCAUCAGAAUCGGCGGACCUCCUUCUCCGGCGAAGCAAAAACACGAAUAAAGGGUGUGGAGGCCAUUGGCCAGCUGGCGUACGGAGGCGCACGUGAAGGAGGUGCGGCACGCGUGGGAUUGGCAGUGGCAGCACACCUUGCUGAGUUAGGGUUUGCUGAUUUUUUGGUUAUUGGGCUAGGGUUUAAUUUUGACCUGGGAUUGGGUUUGAUGUAAUGGGAUUGACUUUUGGGUUGUGUAAAUGGACUUUUAAUUAUUGGACUUUUAUUUUUAUUUUUA
Molecule: long non-coding RNA, 715 nt
Organism: Gossypium raimondii (Peruvian cotton)
Lineage: Eukaryota; Viridiplantae; Streptophyta; Magnoliopsida; Malvales; Malvaceae
Exons: 2
Source: RefSeq, a predicted model, not a curated record